This 518-nucleotide long non-coding RNA is filed under the name Phasianus colchicus (ring-necked pheasant). Its description in RNAcentral is "lncRNA (ENSPCLG00000005923.1)". Lineage: Eukaryota; Metazoa; Chordata; Aves; Galliformes; Phasianidae. The record is from RNAcentral.
UAGGUUGUGGCACCUCUGUGAAGGCAGCCUGUCAGUUUUCAUCAUGAAGAUGUUACUACACAGGAGAAGGAAAUCUUCAAGAAUGACCAAAAUGGCUCAUCAAGGUUGGAAGGGCGGCUCAAGCUAUUACGUGCAGUCCUAUAGGAAUUUCCCUCUAAGAGCAGUGGCUGAGAGCAGUGGAUUUGGAUGAGAGGGAAGAAGGAUGAAAAGAAAGAUGUUGAGGAGGAUGUCUCUUCAUUAAUGUUACCAAUGUGGUAAGCCUUUCUUUCCCUUCUGAUUAGCAGAGAUGUUGCUGCAAAGGUGGUAUGCAGCUUUGAUUCUCGCAGAAAAAUUCACUGAUUACCUCUGGGCCAUUGGCAGUUCUUGUCUGCUAAGUCUAUAAAGUUAUCUAUGUCUAGACACUGUAAACGGAUGUAAUCAGUUGGAGUCAGUGUGCAGAUGGUUACAUAGAACUGAUGGGGUACAGUCCUGUACUGCUGUGAUAUUAAUAAAAAUGUCAUGCAGAGUAUAGUCUGGCA